UACGGGGGGGGCAAGCGUUGUUCGGAAUUACUGGGCGUAAAGGGCUCGUAGGUGGCCAACUAAGUCAGACGUGAAAUCCCUCGGCUUAACCGGGGAACUGCGUCUGAUACUGGAUGGCUGGAGUGUGGGAGAGGGAUGCGGAAUUCCAGGUGUAGCGGUGAAAUGCGUAGAUAUCUGGAGGAACACCGGUGGCGAAGGCGGCAUCCUGGACCAUUACUGACGCUGAAAAGCGAAAGCCAGGGGAGCAAACGGG
Molecule: ribosomal RNA, 253 nt
Filed under: uncultured bacterium
Lineage: Bacteria
Description: partial 16S ribosomal RNA
Rfam family: Bacterial small subunit ribosomal RNA
Source: RNAcentral